RNAcentral lists this non-coding RNA (800 nucleotides) under Pristomyrmex punctatus. The record is from RNAcentral. Lineage: Eukaryota; Metazoa; Arthropoda; Insecta; Hymenoptera; Formicidae.
UUUAUAAAAUAAUAAAAUUUAAUUUUUAUUUAUUAAUUUAUUUUAUCAUUAAAAAUAUAAAUAAAUUUUUAUGAAUUAAUUAAAUAAAUAUUUAAAAAAUAUUUAAUUAUUAGAUUAAUUAAUAUUUAUAAUAAUUAAAAUUAAUUAAAAUUAAGAAUAGUAAUUGAUAAUAUAUAAUAAUAAAUUUUGUGCCAGCAAUUGCGGUUAAACAAAGAUUAUUAGUAAAUUAAAUCAAAUGUGGUAAUAAUUAAAAAUUUAAUAAUAAUAUUUAAUAAAAUUUUAUUAGGUGAAAUUUUUAAAAUUUAUUUAGAUAUUAUGUAAAUAGAUGAAUAAAAAAUUUAUUAAGUUAACAUAGAAACUAGGAUUAGAUACCCUAUUAUUUUAAUUAAUUGGAAGUGUUUGAUUAUUAAUUUUAUUAAAGGUAAAUUUAAAUAAUUUGGCGGUAUUUUAAAAAUUUAGAGGAACUUGUUAAAUAAUUGAUAGUCCACGAUAAGAUUUACUUAAUAAAUUUUUAUGUAUUGUUGUUUGAAAAUUAUUUUAAUAGAAAUAAAUUUAUAAUUUUAAUAAAAUAUAAUUCAAAUCAAAAUGUAGAAUUAUUAAGAUAAUAAUGAGUUACAGUUUAAAAUAAUAUAAAAAUGAUAUUUUUAAUAAUAUUGUGAAAAAGGAUUUAAAUGUAAAUUUUAAAAAUUAUUAAAAUUGAAUUAAAUAAAUGAAAUAUGUACAAAUUGCCCGUCAUUUUCAUUAAAAAAUAAGUGAAAGAAGUCGUAACAAAGUAAAUGUAUAGGAAUAUGCAUUUAGAU